UGGCGCUCCCUCACCGCCUAAUGGCUUUA
This 29-nucleotide non-coding RNA is filed under the name Mus musculus (house mouse). Lineage: Eukaryota; Metazoa; Chordata; Mammalia; Rodentia; Muridae. The record is from RNAcentral.